RNAcentral lists this ribosomal RNA (506 nucleotides) under uncultured bacterium. Its description in RNAcentral is "bacterial SSU rRNA". It matches the Rfam family "Bacterial small subunit ribosomal RNA", at positions 94 to 596 of the family's 1533-position model. The record is from RNAcentral.
AGCGGCGGACGGGUGAGUAAUGCAUCGGAACGUAUCCUGAAGUGGGGGACAACCCAGCGAAAGCUGGGCUAAUACCGCAUAUGCUCGGGAGAGGAAAGCAGGGGACCGCAAGGCCUUGUGCUUUGGGAGCGGCCGAUGUCCGAUUAGCUAGUUGGUGGGGUAAAGGCCUACCAAGGCGACGAUCGGUAGCUGGUCUGAGAGGAUGAUCAGCCACACUGGGACUGAGACACGGCCCACACUCCUACGGGAGGCAGCAGUGGGGAAUUUUGGACAAUGGGCGCAAGCCUGAUCCAGCCAUGCCGCGUGCGGGAAGAAUGCCUUCGGGUUGUAAACCGCUUUUGGUCGGGAAGAAAGGGCGCAGGCUAAUACCCUGAACUGUUGACGGUACCGGCUGAAUAAGCACCGGCUAACUACCUGCCAACAGCCGCGGUAAUACCUACGGUGCGACCGUUAAUCUGAAUUACUGGGCGUAAAGCGUGCGCAGGCUGUUCGUUGUGUCUGAUGUG